Non-coding RNA from Punica granatum (pomegranate), 1058 nucleotides. NCBI's taxonomy places the organism in Eukaryota, Viridiplantae, Streptophyta, Magnoliopsida, Myrtales, Lythraceae. The record is from RefSeq and is a predicted model, not a curated record.
GGGAUCACCUGGUGAUCGAUUUUUUUUUUUCUUUUUCCUUUCUGCCUUUCCCUCAUCUAGACGGCACCAUCCUAUCACCCCCGGCUUCUCUGGAGAUCAGGGGUCUUGUUGCAGGUCCGAGCUCCCGAGGACAAACCUCCGGGCUCCCUUCGAACUCCUCGUUGCUGUGUUGUUCACCUGAGUUGCUUCCUCGAGCUUCCUGAGCGGGUCGCUGCUGUAACGUCCUCCUCGACUCCUUGUCGUCUUUGUGCUGCUGCUCGGCCUCGUCCCUCGCUGCUGUGCUCCCAUUGAACUUCCCUGAGCUGCUGUCCAUGUCCCAUGGAGCUCCCCGAGUUACCUUGGCUGUUGUUCAGCUCUUCGUCGAGCUCCCCUUAGCUGUCAAAUGCAUCCGAGCUAAGUCUCAUACUUUGUUUCCCUUCUCCGUGCUUACUCUUGUUGUUUUCUUUUUCAGUUGGUUCCAUUCUUAUUCUGCCUUUGUUUGUCUCCCCUUUUGCAGUGACAUCAACAUCCACAGAGCCGCCACAUUGCUUUGCUCCCUCCCCUUCGAGAUCCCCGAGUUGCUUUGCCGAUGUAUCGAGGGAUGUCCGAAGGUUCACGUGGUUCCUCCCGACAGUGGCUCAGGAGAGGUCACGCCUAUCACGGGGUGCAACGCUCUAAACCAUCGAUCACGGGUCCAAUGCCCCACGCACACUGAGCGCGCACAACCCGAGUGCGGAAUGGGGUCUAGCCCCAAGUCAUUACCUUGCUCCGAGUAUGGUCUAUGGGGAAGACGACUUGGAUCGGGUGUGUGAAUCGCGGUUAGGCGUCACCCGGGAACUCGACCGAUCCAACGGUUAUCGCGAGAAUUGAUCCAUUUUCUCGUCUACCGUCGGUUCGGUCGGACCCGACUCUCGGCUCCUUGAGCCCGUGUUACCUUAAUUUACUUAUCGGUCAUUCAAAAUCUCACGGUGAGCUAGAGUGGAAUGUUGGCCCAAUGCAAACCGAUAGGGGAUCCAUUUACUUUGUUCGGUUGUAUUCUGUAUUUUUUUGAGAGUACAUUGUAAGAAAUUUCGUUUGCA